UAUUCAGUAUAUGGAAAGUGUUUAAGACAUUAAAUAAUAAAAACCCCAAAAAGGUCACAAAACGACCAAAUCCCACCAUUGUCCUUUUCAAACCAGUCACAAUACGAUUAUAUGCUUGCCGUUCCAAAAUCCUAAAAUCCACCUCCAUUUGCAGCGGCCGUUAACGGCACCUCAUCCGACGCUCGACCUGAAGAAUCAAUGUGAAAGAAGGAGUCGGCCUCGAAACCUAAUGAUGGGAAGAGAAAGUAAGCGAAUAAUCCGAAAAAAGCAUCUGCUCCAACAUUGGCGGACUCGAAGAAGAAGCAGCCUGUGUCGUCCUCUAAAAGUUAGAGACGGACCUCUAAAAAGGGAGAAUCGUCAAGCUCAAGAGCGAUUCAACACGAAAUUGAGAAUGAACGAGAUGUUAUUACUCGAGAAAGGCCCACUCGAGAGCCAAACUUGGCCCAAGUUCGCGUUCAGCGUGUCAAAACUCAAAAAUUAAUUCGAGUUACCUACCUUGUUUUGAGUUCAUCUUCCCACUGCAACUUAAGUUAACUUCUCUGUAUUUCUACAGUGAAGAUUCCUGCCCUAUUGACUGUUGCUUGCUUUGUCCAUCUCUUUUAGCUCUAACACGCCAUUCUGCAAUUUAACGUGGUUCUCUGUAAGUGUGCCGUUGCCUGCUUUAUCCCGUGAGAUUCCUGUGAGUUCUGGCUGCCUUUUGACCCCUUCAAGCUUCAAUUCCACUCCUUCAAGUUUCAAUUCCGUCCCAUACCCAUAACUCAAAUGCAAAUCCAUUUUUCCUCAAUCUGAGAUAGAAAAUCCCUAGCCCCAAAAUUCACCCCUCAUCUGUCCGCUUGGUCUCCGUUCAAGACGGAGAAAUUCGGUGGUAGAAAUCGAUCUCUUCGGCAACCUCCUUGGGCAACCAUCCUAGCUCGAUGUAGAAGGAAAGGGUCUCGACCUAGUGCUUUCAAGUGGCGACAUCAAAGCUACUUUCCCCUCCAUUGUAGUCGCCGGUACCUCACUCAGGGUAAAUCGUCUUUGCGUUUUGGGAAUCUCGGAGCAGAUCCAACUUACUCCUCUGUAGGCUCAAACUUAAUGGCAAGAAGGAGAGAUAAAGAUGUUAAUUGGAGCCCAGUAACUGAGGAACAGUUGCUUAGGCUUCUUGGUGAAUUCAAUUUGUUAAGCUCGGCUGGUAACGCACCAAACCGAGACAAAUACAUGCAAUGGGCGACCGUGCUAAGUAGCCAUUUUAGCGUCCCAGUUAGUUGGGAUAAAGUUAAACAAAAAGCAGGUCGGUUGAAAAGAACUUUCGACGCAGAGUUCCUACUUCGGAAUGCAACUGGACUUGGUUGGGAUCCAAUUGAGAAGAAACCCACAUGCACAGAGGAAUAUUGGCACUAUUUAUCAGUAACCACCCUGAGGUUGAAAACGCAAGGAAGAAGCCUUUAGGGGACUAUGAUUUGUAUUACUAUGCGUUUGCAAAUACACGUGCUACAGGUGCACAUGAGUACGGGCAAGAAGAACCCUGCAAGUCCACCGCACCCACCAGAGAACCUUCCGGGCAGCCCCAUUGACAUUGACGGUGGACAGUCCCAGUUCAAUGAGUUUGGUGAUACUUCAUUCACAGAGAUGAGACAAGCUUUACACCAGACUGGUCGAGUAUCACAUCUUGCCUCACAAUCACGUUUAAUUAGUAAACGGUCAAGCAGAAACAGUCAUACACGCUCACCAACUUUCAUGGAGCGUGUCGUGGAUCGCCUCGUUUCGUCUAUUGAACAAAACAAUCGCAGCCGAGCGGCCUUUUUUGCGCAUGAAAGAACACCACAGGUUGGUGUGGAUUAAACAGACAAUGGAUUCACAUGCAAAUCAACAAUUUUAUCUGCCGCCACCACCACCGCAAAUGCAUGCCCGCCUGGUCAUUUUCAGUCUAACACGCCACUAAACCCCCAGUCCCCUUAUACCUUUCACCCUUACUUUAACCCGACCAGUUCUACUUUUCAACCAUACAAUCCCUCAAACUUUUCACCCGUUUCUGGGCAACAUGGGGGAGAUGGUAGUUCACAUCCAAACUUUUCACCCUUGUUUAUGACAUUGUUGCAAUAUUGUUGUAGUUGGUUCGUUAUUUAAUUCAGAACAUGCACUAGUCUUCUAAGAUUUAGACAUUGCUAUUGUUAUGUGGUUUUUAGGCAAUUUUCUGCUAUCAGGUCCAAUUUUGGUAAAUUUUGAGGACCUCUGAAAUAGUUAUUUAU
Long non-coding RNA from Morus notabilis, 2228 nucleotides. RefSeq lists it as uncharacterized. NCBI's taxonomy places the organism in Eukaryota, Viridiplantae, Streptophyta, Magnoliopsida, Rosales, Moraceae. The transcript is spliced from 5 exons. The record is from RefSeq and is a predicted model, not a curated record.